CUACUCUUGACAUCCAGAGAAUUCGCUAGAGAUAGCUUAGUGCCUUCGGGAACUCUGAGACAGGUGCUGCAUGGCUGUCGUCAGCUCGUGUUGUGAAAUGUUGGGUUAAGUCCCGCAACGAGCGCAACCCUUAUCCUUGUUUGCCAGCACGUAAUGGUGGGAACUCCAGGGAGACUGCCGGUGAUAAACCGGAGGAAGGUGGGGACGACGUCAAGUCAUCAUGGCCCUUACGAGUAGGGCUACACACGUGCUACAAUGGCGUAUACAGAGGGCUGCAAGCCAGCGAUAGUGAGCGAAUCCCACAAAGUCCGUCGUAGUCCGGAUUGGAGUCUGCAACUCGACUCCAUGAAGUCGGAAUCGCUAGUAAUCGUGAAUCAGAAUGUCACGGUGAAUACGUU
Molecule: ribosomal RNA, 398 nt
Filed under: uncultured bacterium
Lineage: Bacteria
Description: bacterial SSU rRNA
Rfam family: Bacterial small subunit ribosomal RNA
Source: RNAcentral